Molecule: long non-coding RNA, 511 nt
Organism: Arachis stenosperma
Lineage: Eukaryota; Viridiplantae; Streptophyta; Magnoliopsida; Fabales; Fabaceae
Exons: 3
Source: RefSeq, a predicted model, not a curated record
CUUGGUCUCAAACCGUCUCUCCCCUUCAUCGUUGCAUCUUUUAACUUCCAAUAAAACCUCAAUCUCAAGUUUUUAUAAAUUAUGGGUUGUAGCUUCACCAAUACCAAGUGGUAGGUAGGGCUCUUCCCAUAGAGAAAGACGAGCAUCCUAAGCUCUACUGCAUGAAGCUUUGGGCCACCAAUGAGAUUCGUGCCAAAUCCUAAUUUUGGUCUCAACACUGUUGUGAAGCCGACGAGUGUACUCUGUUUUAUCAUCCCCUAAGGCUUUCUUCCAUUGCUACAAUGUUGAAGGUAUGGAUGAGAUAGAGUUUACUGAAGUUGAGAGCAAUAUGAAUGAUAUUGUAGUUGAGUACCAACAAUACCAAGAUGCCACUGCUGAUGACAAAGAAAAUGAAGACUAUGAAGAUGAGGACGUUCAGGAAGAGGCUUUAAGUAGUAGUAAUGCAGGAGUUCUUUUCAAUUCAGGAAGAAUGAUGUAGGAGCAUGUAUUUUUAUGUUUGUGUCGUUAAUUA